This 253-nucleotide ribosomal RNA is filed under the name uncultured bacterium. Its description in RNAcentral is "partial 16S ribosomal RNA". It matches the Rfam family "Bacterial small subunit ribosomal RNA", at positions 524 to 776 of the family's 1533-position model. The record is from RNAcentral.
UACGGAGGGUGCAAGCGUUGAUCGGAAUUACUGGGCGUAAAGCGCACGCAGGCGGCUUGUUAAGUCAGAUGUGAAAUCCCCGGGCUCAACCUGGGAACUGCAUUUGAUACUGGCAAGCUUGAGUCCCGUAGAGGGGAGUAGAAUUCCAGGUGUAGCGGUGAAAUGCGUAGAGAUCUGGAGGAAUACCGGUGGCGAAGGCGGCCCCCUGGACUAAGACUGACGCUGAGGUGCGAAAGCGUGGGGAGCAAACAGG